UACGAAGGGGGCUAGCGUUGUUCGGAAUUACUGGGCGUAAAGCGCACGUAGGCGGAUACUUAAGUCAGGGGUGAAAUCCCGGGGCUCAACCCCGGAACUGCCUUUGGAUACUGGGUAUCUCGAGUCCGGAAGAGGUGAGUGGAAUUCCGAGUGUAGAGGUGAAAUUCGUAGAUAUUCGCAAGAACACCGGUGGCGAAGGCGGUCUGCUGGCAGCUGCUGACACUGAGGCGCGACAGCGUGGGGAGCAAACAGG
RNAcentral lists this ribosomal RNA (253 nucleotides) under uncultured bacterium. Its description in RNAcentral is "partial 16S ribosomal RNA". It matches the Rfam family "Bacterial small subunit ribosomal RNA", at positions 524 to 776 of the family's 1533-position model. The record is from RNAcentral.